This 86-nucleotide non-coding RNA is filed under the name Giesbergeria anulus. Lineage: Bacteria; Pseudomonadati; Pseudomonadota; Betaproteobacteria; Burkholderiales; Comamonadaceae. The record is from RNAcentral.
CUUUAAGGCGGACUGUGCAGGGACACCCGCGAGGGUGUGCCGGAACCUGUGGCCGGUCGACCAACCCUGUACGGUCUGCCACCCUC